AAAUAAGAAGUAAAAUAAAUUUACAUAUUAAUUUCGACUUAAUAAUAGAUCAUAAAUCCUUAUUUU
Molecule: transfer RNA, 66 nt
Filed under: Hamamelistes spinosus
Lineage: Eukaryota; Metazoa; Arthropoda; Insecta; Hemiptera; Hormaphididae
Description: tRNA-Arg
Source: RNAcentral